CCUACGGGUGGCAGCAGUGAGGAAUAUUGUCAAUGGCCGGAAGGCUGAACCAGCCAUGCCGCGUGAAGGUCAGUGCCCUAUGGGCGUUAAACUUCUUUUGUGCGGGAGCAAUAAUGGUCACGUGUGGCCAGACGAGAGUACCGUACGAAUAAGCAUCGGCUAACUCCGUGCCAGCAGCCGCGGUCAUACGGGGGAUGCAAGCGUUAUCCGGAUUUAGUGGGUUUAAAGGGUGCGUAGGCUGGGAGGUAAGUCAGCGGUGAAAUGCCCCCGCGCAACGGGGUGAAGUGCCAUUGAUACUGCCGUGCUGGAAUGCGGAAGCCGUGGGAGGAAUGUGUGGUGUAGCGGUGAAAUGCGUAGAUAUAACAAAGAACACCGGUUGCGAAGGCAGCUCACGAAUCCGCGAUUGACGCUGAUGCACGAAAGCGUGGGUAUCAAACAGGAUUAGAUACCCGGGUAGUC
This 459-nucleotide ribosomal RNA is filed under the name uncultured bacterium. RNAcentral describes it as "partial 16S ribosomal RNA". It matches the Rfam family "Bacterial small subunit ribosomal RNA", at positions 338 to 795 of the family's 1533-position model. The record is from RNAcentral.